This 80-nucleotide small nuclear RNA is filed under the name Cricetulus griseus (Chinese hamster). RNAcentral's name for it is "U4 spliceosomal RNA". It matches the Rfam family "U4 spliceosomal RNA", at positions 1 to 80 of the family's 138-position model. Rfam says of the family: U4 small nuclear RNA (U4 snRNA) is a component of the major U2-dependent spliceosome. The structure of U4 snRNA from yeast and human has been reported. U4 snRNA presents a k-turn RNA motif in the 5p-SL related to recognition of Snu13 protein. Lineage: Eukaryota; Metazoa; Chordata; Mammalia; Rodentia; Cricetidae. The record is from Rfam by way of RNAcentral.
AGCUCUGCGAAGUGGCAGUAUCGUAGCCAAUGAGGUUUAUCCAAGGCUAGAUUAUUGCUAAUUGAAAAAAAAACCAAAGG